This 501-nucleotide ribosomal RNA is filed under the name uncultured bacterium. RNAcentral's name for it is "partial 16S ribosomal RNA". It matches the Rfam family "Bacterial small subunit ribosomal RNA", at positions 899 to 1397 of the family's 1533-position model. The record is from RNAcentral.
ACUCAAAGGAAUUGACGGGGGCCCGCACAAGCGGUGGAGCAUGUGGUUUAAUACGUCACUAACCGUAGAACCUUACCAGGGCUUGACAUCUGCCGACAGGUUAUGAAAGUAAUUUUUCCUCCACAAGAGGACGGCAAGACAGGUGUUGCAUGGCUGUCGUCAGCUCGUGUCGUGAGAUGUUGGGUUAAGUCCCGCAACGAGCGCAACCCUCAUCCAAUGUUGCCAGCGUUAAGUCGGGAACUCUUUGGAAACUGCCCGUGUAAGCGGGAGGAAGGUGGGGAUGACGUCAAGUCAGCAUGGCCCUUACGCCCUGGGCUACACACAUGCUACAAUGGCAGUUCACAGAGGGAAGCAAUACCGCGAGGUGGAGCAAAUCCCAGAAAUACUGUCCCAGUUCGGAUUGCAGUCUGCAACUCGACUGCAUGAAGUUGGAAUCGCUAGUAACCGCAGGUCAGCUAAACUGCGGUGAAUACGUUCCCGGGCCUUGUACACACCGCCCGU